GGCCCCGUAGCUCAACUGGACAGAGCGAGUGGCUUCUAUCCACUAGGUUGCAGGUUCGAGUCCUGCCGGGGUCA
This is a non-coding RNA of Parcubacteria group bacterium GW2011_GWA2_38_13b, 74 nucleotides long. The record is from Rfam.